Salvia miltiorrhiza (redroot sage) is the source of this 1414-nucleotide long non-coding RNA. RefSeq lists it as uncharacterized. The transcript is spliced from 2 exons. The record is from RefSeq and is a predicted model, not a curated record. NCBI's taxonomy places the organism in Eukaryota, Viridiplantae, Streptophyta, Magnoliopsida, Lamiales, Lamiaceae.
AAACAUUCAUUCUCUUUUUUUUUUUAAUAAGCACUCGGUUCCCUCAAAAUUAUUAAAGAAAGGAAACUCUCUCUCUCUCUUAAUUGAAGCAAAAUUUUGCUCACUCUUCUCUCUCUCUCGUUCGAUCGAUCCAGCCAUCAUCCGGGGUCCUUCUUCCCGGCGAGUCAUCGCCGGAAAUCCAUCUCUCUCUCCCUCGCAUACAUCGGUAACCACCCAAACACUCACCUCUCAAUCUCUCUCGAAUCUCCUCCGGCGAAGAACCGUCGGUCAGUCACCUCCCUCAACGUUUCACUACAGCGCCGUUGUUCCUGCUGCUCCGGCGACUCACGACGAGGCCACCGCCGAUUGCUGCUGUUUGUGGAAGCGCCGCCGACUGCUGCUGUUCGUGGAGUCCGCCGCCGACUGCUGCUGUUCUGAAGUUGGCCGCCGACUGCUGCUGCUCUGGUAUCGCGGGCUGCUGUUGCAGAGCUCCGACAGCCACCACCGUCGUCGGCUGCCGCUGCCUCGCCCAAGGCCGACUUCUGCUACCAAGCACCGAACGCCGCUGCUGUAGGGAGGCCGGCGAACAGUCGGGUGUUCGCCGUUUCCAGUUCUUCUCCGAGUUCCGAAGCCGGUGAGAGCUCCAUCAUCGCGUCGUCUCGUUCGUCUCUCGGCCCAACUGAACAGGUCGUGGAGCAACAAGGCGAGCUUCUCGCCUGAACCCACCGCCAAGCACCGAGUCGCUGCUGCUCGUCGUCUCUCGAUCAGCCUGAACAGGCCGCGUCCCUUCUUCCUAAAGCUAAGUUAUCUACUUUCAUUUUUCUUCUACUUCAGUUUCUAGUUGUUACGCGUGGGGUUCUCAUGAUUCGUUGUUCUAGAGUGCAGUGGCAGUAUACACACAAGUCUUUCUAUUGCUAUACAUAACAUGGACUGUUUGAUGUAGUGGUAAAACAUGAUUAUGCUCGUUGGUACGAAUGCGAACUCGAUUGGAUAACUGAGGUGGAAUAAGGGAAGAAGGUGGAGCAUUGAAGACAAGCUUACCUUGAGAAUACUUGGUAGGAUGAAUUAAAGGCUCACUUCUCCUUGUGCAGUCCUCAAAUGAAGAAUGAAGAGAAUGCAACAAUGUUGGCUGUUUUGAAUGACGAGGUGGUUUGGCUGGGAGCUUGUAUACAUGGGAGGAGGUACAUUCUAGGGUGGCUGAUUGACAUAUUUAGGUGUACUUGGGCAUGGCAGCCUGCUGCAUAGGCGUGGGAAAAGAAAAGGUGCAGCAAGCUCAAGAGGGGAUAGGGGAGUGUGCAGCACAUGUCUCCAUACCUUAUUGUUAUUCCCAUUUUCUUGAACUUAGGGGGGGUGGCAGGUGGUGGAGUAGUAAAAAUCUAAUUUGUAUUAUUAUCGAGAUUGCUAAAUUAAAUCCAUAGAUUUAAUUCGUUCGUCA